Molecule: long non-coding RNA, 444 nt
Filed under: Salmo salar (Atlantic salmon)
Lineage: Eukaryota; Metazoa; Chordata; Actinopteri; Salmoniformes; Salmonidae
Description: lncRNA (ENSSSAG00000086170.1)
Source: RNAcentral
CACAUCUUGAGACCACCAGAUGGUUCAUAGCAAGUGCCAGUAUUCAUCUAGCUAAGACUACCAGCUGUUGUAAGCCGACUGAAACAACGCAUAGCUGAACACCGCAGCUCAAUCAGGUGUAAGAACACUGACUAUCCAUCCAGUAGCAGCUCACUUUGUUGAAGCUAACCGUCCCAUCUCCUCCCUCAAAUACGCAGCAUGGGGCAUGUUGCUCUACCAAGGAGAGGAGGUAACAUGGAGGUCCUACUACUACAGAGGAGAGGUAACAUGGAGAUCCUACUACUACAGAGGAGAGGUAACAUGGAGAUCCUACUACUACAGAGGAGAGGAGGUAACAUGGAGGUCCUACUACUACAGAGGAGAGGAGGUAACAUGGAGGUCCUACUACUACAGAGGAGAGGUAACAUGGAGAUCCUACUACUACAGAGGAGAGGUAACAUGGAG